Non-coding RNA from Heterocephalus glaber (naked mole-rat), 1927 nucleotides. Lineage: Eukaryota; Metazoa; Chordata; Mammalia; Rodentia; Bathyergidae. The record is from RefSeq and is a predicted model, not a curated record.
AGACACAGUCACCUGUAGUAGAAAGGGCAUGAACUUGGGACUAGGGGUCAGUUGGAAUCACAGCUGUGCAGCUCAAAACUGGGAAUCUUGGUGCAAGUGACAUCUCACAAAGUUUAUCUGACGUGUGCCUUGGCAUGAUGACAGUGGCACUGUGAGGUUCUCUACACCAGUCCUCCAGACGUAUAUAAGGCCAGUGCCUUAAUCCUCUGCCAGCCUCCCCAUGACCCCACAAUUUGUUGCUCCAGAAGCGGAUCCUGGACUGGGUCUUUAGCUCAGUGGUUUCGCCACCUGCUGUGCAAGUGCAAGGACCUGAGUUCAAUCCCCGGGUACCAAAAACAAAAAACAAAACAAAACAAAAAAACCCAGAAGCCGAUCUUUAUUAAUAGGCAUUAUUCUAAUUCUGCCUUUUAUCCCCAUCAGUCAAUAAAUAUAAUGUUCAAUCAAUUAUGUGCUCUACUCUCUGCCAAUUCUGUCCUGAAGGCCUUACAUUUGGUCCUCAUGACAUCACAAUGAAGGCUACUAAUGUGUCCAUUUCAUAAGUAAGCUGGGUCCCAGAGGGGCUUAAUAACUUAUCUAAAGACUCACAGCUAAGUGGUAAGAGCAGGAUCAGGAUUCGAAUCCAGAUUGGCCUGCUUCCCAAGCCUGUGCUCUUCAGUGCUGAUGUUGUUAUUCUGCUUUCCUGUUCAGGACCAGUGUGACUUUUCAAGGACAACUACCAUUGGCUGAGUCCCCAUCUCAUGUGAAGUUCUUUGUAAGACUUGUGGGAAAACCAAAGUCCUGGUCUGCACGUAAGGGAGACAAAAAAAGGAGACUUCUUCUAUCCCUUGGGACUAUCCAUACCCACUUUCACGGACUGAGGCUUUGCAUGUGCCAGGCCCAGGACUCUGCUUCAUGGUAGCUUCUCCUUCAAUCUUCACAAAAGCUCUGUGGGGUUGCCAUCCCCACUUUCUUGGCUGAGGAAACUGAGGUUUAGAGAAACUGAGCAAACGGAUCAAAGUCACAGGGGGAGGGAAGCAGCCUGCCACACAUAUGCAGCCUGCCUGUUAGGAACCCGUUGGCUCCAUCUGGCUCAGAGAAGUUCCUCAAUAAAUAGCUGUUGUCUGAGUGGAUGGGAAGAGGCCAGGGGAGAGAGUUAGAGUUGGAUCCCUAUGAGAUGGAAUCAGGGCUCAGGGACCCCAACGUCACACAGCUGGCAAGCAGCUGAGCUGCAACCUUAAAGUAGGCCUCCUAUGGCUCCACCACCAUGCUAGGCUUCAGCAAGGGUGCCCUGGAGCCCUAGCAGCAGAUGCAGGGGACUCUUCCAGGAUCCAGGGAAGACUGCAAAGUAAAGGCAUCAUUCACCAUUUUCUAAGCACCCACUAUAUGCCAGUGCCUGUGACCAGCCCUGGGAUUUAAGAGAUGAUAGGUACACUGCCUGCAUCAAGGAGUUUAUAUUCUGGUAUACUGCGUGUGUAUAUGUGGGUGUGUGUGUGGGGGGGGAUCUUAUGGGCUGAGCUAUAGUGAAAUAUUCUCCCUGCAUCAUGCUAAAAAAAAAGUGAGAAAUCUGGGAAAGUCAUCUUGACAACAGUCUGGGUGUAACUGUGUUCAAAUACAUAAAUGCGUGUGUAUCUUUUUUUUUUUUUGGUACCGGGGAUCGAACUCAGGACCUUGCGCUUUUGAGGCAGGCAGCAGAACCACUGAGCUAAAUCCCCAGCCCAACAUGUGUAUCUUUUUAACAUAGUAAGAGCUUAUUAAUAUCUAAAAAAUAUACAUAUAUGUCUGUAUGAGAGGCUAUAAUGUAAUAACUAAAUAAUUUUUAAGGAAUUUUUAUUGACAUGGGGAAAUUCUCCUGAUAUAUUUCAAAGGUGAAAAAAUAGGCUACAAUACUGAUGGGCAGGAUGACCUCAAUUACUAUUUUUCAUUUUUCAUUUAUUUAUUUAUUUUUGGG